Molecule: long non-coding RNA, 994 nt
Organism: Arabidopsis lyrata subsp. lyrata
Lineage: Eukaryota; Viridiplantae; Streptophyta; Magnoliopsida; Brassicales; Brassicaceae
Exons: 2
Source: RefSeq, a predicted model, not a curated record
UAAGCAUACAAAUAUAACACAAUACUCUCUCUUCUCUCUCUUCUCUCUCUUCUCUCUCUCAAAUCUUUUAGAGAGAGAGUAGCUUAUUCUUCCUUUUAGCCGUCCGGUUUGUAUUUCGGCAUCUGUCCGUCAGCUAUCAGCUCAUAUAGCGGUGGUUGGAUGGCUUCUUGUCUAGCAUCGAUCGGUUCUCGCGACGAUGGCUAGCUUUAGUUUUCCUCUGGCGUUGUUCGGUUCUUUCUUUUCUCGGUUUCUACCACGGUGUCUUUGUUGCCGUUGUUUGUUUUAGUUUUUUCUUCGUCGGAUCGGUGCUGGUGGUUACGGCGUUUGUGGCGAUUUUCGCUCAAAAGUCUCUUUUCCAGUGCAUCCUUUAAGUUUGCGGUUCACGGAAAAGAUCUCUGCGCUUUGCAAAGAUAUGAAGAUGUGAAACACUUUCCUCAGCAUAUUUGGAUUGUCUUUAGCUGUUACUUGCUUUUAGAGCUUCGGUUGGUUUUAAUCAACAGUUUCUGGAUUGAUCGGAUUUUAUUCUCAUAUUGUUGGAUCUCAAAUCUCUUGAUAAUUAUAGCAAUUUGGUUGAGUUUAAACGUUAUGAAAUAUCUCCAUGUUACUGUUUUGCUAUUGCUGGUGAAAAACAGACGAUUCUACCGACGAUGUAAUCUCGGCGAUGGUUCAUUCACCGAAAAAUCGAUGUCUCCGAUAGCGAAGGUGUUGGUAUUCUCACUAACCUCACUCUCACCACUUAAGGUUUAAUCGAAGACUCAUCCUUCAACAGAAGGAUGAUGAUGGAAAUCUUGUUUUGCUCAUCUUCCACGUGUCUUGUCACGUGUCUUUGAGUGGUCUUUUACGAUCAAAAAUAUCUUCUAUAAGUGGUGCGCUGUUGGUUUCUUCUAGGCCUUUAGUUUGCUUCGUUAACAGUUCAUGUAUGUUGGGCUUUCCUUGGCCUUGUAUCAAAUGGUUUGAAUAAAGUUCACUAUUGGAGAAAAAAAAAAAAAAAAAA